CCGCGCCUCCUCUCCAGCGGCCGCCGAAACUUUCUCAGCCAUUGCAGCGGCAGCCGCCCCACCAAGUGCCGACGAGGGACAAGCGCCGCCUGGGCGGGUCGGGGAAGAAAGUCAGCCGCCCGCUUCUACCGGCGCUAUCAGCAACGGCAGCAUCCUCUGCCGGGAAGAGAAGGAGCAGCCGCGCCACGCUGCGCCGGGGCACCGCCUAGCAGCCGCGGUAGCAGCAGCAGCAGCAUGCCUGUCCCGCCGCAGAAGCGCCGCCUGCUUGAGAGCUCUCGGUAGGCUGCGGGCGCCCCGGGGGCUCCAGGAGAGAGCAGCGCCUUCCUCCGCUGGUCGCCGAGACGGCUACUGUACUGCCUUCCGCGAACCUGCCUGCGGGCCAUGGGCGGGGAAGACGAGCAGCCUACGGAGCCAAUGGCAAAGGCGGCGGUGGGUGGGCCCUGCCGAGGGAUGAUGCCUAAGCACAGAGUCGAGCCCAAUCUGAGUGAGCAGCAGGUAACAGGGAGGCGGAGGAGGAACAGAAAGAAGGGCUGCCACAGUCCCCGGCACGCUUACUGAGGACUCGGAGCAUGCACGCCCCGUUACACACGGUGGUGGGACUGACCUCUGAGUAAUGCUGGGCUGCAGUUCUGUGCAGGAUUCGAAUUCAGUUCAGAGCGACUGGUUACAUUUUCCUUUCUUACGCGCUGCCUUUUUACGAAAAGGUAUCCAAGCCUCCUCUUUAAUGUCAGUCCACUCCAUAAACAUGAACUAACAACACCGAACCAGUAGGAGGUGUCCUCAGUCUCACCACCACCACUUUACAUAGGAAAAGGAUAGACUGAACUUGGAAUAUGGCUCCUGCUCAAAGAAAAGGUCAAAGAAAUAAAGCUGAGAUAAGCUCUGCAAGAUAAGAAGAAAGUGCCAGCAGGAAGCAAUGCUAUAGGAAUGUGAAAUUCUAAAUGUCUUCCAGAGACAUUGCUUUAACAUGUAAAUACAGUAUUUUCUCUGAAAGCCAAAGAGUUUAUGAAGAUUAGAAAACAGUGGGGCGGAGAAGGCUACACCUGAACAGAAUGGAACAGCUCCGUACCACACUUCCUUGGAUAAGACAGAUAAGAAGAUAGCAGCAAAGUGUUCAGGCAACUGUGUCUAAAGCUCACUCCAGAUCUUAUCAUGCCAACCAGCAGUCUGGCUCAGUUUGAGUUAGUAUGUAGCAGGGUUAAUCAGGUAACUACAAAAUAAAAUAAGCUAAGAAAAGGGAAGAAUACAUUUUUAUUUCCACAGAUACUCCAUGUGAUGCCUUCUCAAAGAAUUACACCACAUUAUAUCCCUAAGAGUUGCAUAUAUUCAUUGGGCUGAUAAAUAUAUUACUGCACAGUGUUUUGUACAGAAAAUGUAUGUUCUAAAUCUUUGUAUGGAAGACAGUUAAAUGGGCAUGCUGUCUUAUUCAGUCUUCUUAAAUGAAAUUUUUCUGAAAAAAGCAAUUAAGGGUAUAGAUAGAAUGCAUUUA
Long non-coding RNA from Hemicordylus capensis (graceful crag lizard), 1489 nucleotides. RefSeq lists it as uncharacterized. The record is from RefSeq and is a predicted model, not a curated record. The transcript is spliced from 4 exons. NCBI's taxonomy places the organism in Eukaryota, Metazoa, Chordata, Lepidosauria, Squamata, Cordylidae.